CACAGCCCAACCCUCUCUCUCUCGCUCAUUGUCUCUCUCACCACGCGCACAGGCACGAACACGACCUUUCCCUUGUUCGUUCCCCUCCUGCGAUCGAGUCGUCGCCUGCUGCCGUCCCGGCCGUUGCCGGCCGAAUCCGCCGUCGCUGCUCGCCGGUUCCGCUCCAUCCCUCUCUCCUCCGUUGUUUCCCUGCUGCCGCUAUGCACGAACUUGCCCGUGCUCCCCGCCGCCUACUGCUCCGCCGCCUGCUAUCGGCCGUUCGCGGCCUACUCCGACGCCGGCGAGAGGGGGUUUUGCUCCACCUUGAGGUGAUCUACAACUCCACCUCGACGAUUUAAUUCCCGUGGCUUCUCCCGUUCGUUCCCCAACCUGAAACCCUUGUCGGUCGCCUCCGUCGCCCGGCCAGCCGUCGGCCAACCCCGGCGCCGCGGCGUGCCGCUGCUGCUCCGCCUCCUCGGCUCUUGGUCUGAUGUUGCUGGGAUGGUGGGGUGCUGGCGCUGUGGUGCCUAUCUUCGGUGAACUGGUGCUGCGGCAUCUACUUCAUCCUCGAUCGACGCCGGCGGGAUGGCGUCUACGACUGCAACCCCGGCGUCCUCACUUCUCUGCAUCCUCUACUACUAUACUACUACGGAAAGAAGAACAAGAAGAUUGGAAGAUUGAGAAGAUUUAGAUUUAGGACUUCUUUUAUUUUCUUUUUGUAAUCUUUCUCUCUUUCUAUUUAUGUGACUUGUAAAUAAUUGGAUAAUGUUAUUUAUAGUAAAGUUUAAAUUGUUUGUUCA
Molecule: long non-coding RNA, 779 nt
Organism: Lolium perenne
Lineage: Eukaryota; Viridiplantae; Streptophyta; Magnoliopsida; Poales; Poaceae
Source: RefSeq, a predicted model, not a curated record